RNAcentral lists this ribosomal RNA (496 nucleotides) under uncultured bacterium. RNAcentral's name for it is "partial 16S ribosomal RNA". It matches the Rfam family "Bacterial small subunit ribosomal RNA", at positions 29 to 507 of the family's 1533-position model. The record is from RNAcentral.
AUGAACGCCGGCGGCGUGCCUAAUCAAUGCAAGUCGAGCGAACGGACGAGAAGCUUGCUUCUCUGAUGUUAGCGGCGGACGGGUGAGUAACACGUGGAUAACCUACCUAUAAGACUGGGAUAACUUCGGGAAACCGGAGCUAAUACCGGAUAAUAUUUUGAACCGCAUGGUUCAAAAGUGAAAGACGGUCUUGCUGUCACUUAUAGAUGGAUCCGCGCUGCAUUAGCUAGUUGGUAAGGUAACGGCUUACCAAGGCAACGAUGCAUAGCCGACCUGAGAGGGUGAUCGGCCACACUGGAACUGAGACACGGUCCAGACUCCUACGGGAGGCAGCAGUAGGGAAUCUUCCGCAAUGGGCGAAAGCCUGACGGAGCAACGCCGCGUGAGUGAUGAAGGUCUUCGGAUCGUAAAACUCUGUUAUUAGGGAAGAACAUAUGUGUAAGUAACUGUGCACAUCUUGACGGUACCUAAUCAGAAAGCCACGGCUAACUACGUG